UGCACUGCAGGUGAUGGCUUAAGUGUGUGCGUGUAAGAUUUGACCAAAAUAAACGUGUAAACUGUUGAAAUAUGAUUCAACCUCGAGACUACUCUAAAUCAUCUUGGAGAAGCUUAGACAAAAACUUGAAGACUGCUUGAAGUAGAAGAAAGGAAAAAGAGUAAGUAAACACAAGAAUCAACUAAGUGUUAAACAUUCUAGUUGAUGCAGAGGAUUUCAGGGGUUUAAGGAAAAGGCUAAGACUCUGUACCAAGUAGAGAUUUUGAAAGGAGCUUAUGAUGACACUUGUCAUCAUAUGAGAGGAGCUGUCUUAAAUCAUCAUCGACUAUAAAACCUGAAACAGAGCGUACAAAGAAGCGAGCUUGGUGAUUAGCGUGAUCAUUCGAUUUUAGAUCGUUGUGUGCGUAAGAGAGAUGAUGAUGAGAGAUAUCUUGUUAGAGUCUUCUCAAGUUAGGGUUCAUCUCUGAUUCAUUCUUCUUCUUUGUUCUUCGCUAUUUUUCUUCUUCUUUGUAACACGAUUGAUUUGUAAUCAUGAGAAAGUGAGAGAACACAAACACUUGUAUCUCUUGAUCUUUAGUGGAUGUUUGAGGGUACCGAUCCCUCACGAGACGUACCUGUUGUUGGCAGGGAACUCGUUAAAAUCGUUUGUGUCUUUGAUUGUGCUUUUUGGAUUCGUGAGGUUAUGUGUUUCGAUUAGGUGGAAUCGAUGCUUUGUUUCAUAACAUAAACCAUCAAAUUUUCAUAUGUUAAAUUUACAGUAAGAAUGUCAUAGGAAGAUGUUGGUUCACUUUUUAAACCUUAAAUUGUUUGUCUUACUCAAAAUAUUUUAAAUCUACUAGUAUGUGUAUGCUCACAAGAAAAACUUUAGAUUUAUUAACACAAUUUUUUUUAUAUACCUUUAUUCGUUUUCUUUCUUUUUCCCUCCUUUUAUAUCAUCGCUUUAGUCCAUCCACUAAGUUAAAGCUAUUCAUUAUGAGUGGCUCCAGGCUACAGGUAUCUCUAAUUUUCAUUAGUUAGUAUAAUUUUAUUAAAAUCAUUUACUUUAAUCAACCGCCGAAUUUACGAAAUACAAAAUCCCAAUUUAUCUGAAAUAUUGAAAUGAAAAGAAUAUCUUAGAUCUGAAUUUUAAAUAGUAAAAAAUUAACUUACUAAGAAUUGAGAGUGGAAUGUGACUGUUAUAGCUUUAUCUUUUUAUCUUUACUUUCAUAAAAUCAAAGUUAAAGACUUGGCAAUCAGCAAACACUAAAAUUACAUAACUUUACCCUCCACUAUCAAAAGUUACAUUGAGCCACCCAACUACUUUAUAAUCUCGUCGUUUACACCCCUACAAUUGUUAAAAUUCAUUAAUAAAAUCCCUCAGAUUGAUACUAAAACUUCAUCAUAACUCACUAAUUCCCUUAAAGCUUCAAGAACGAAAAAAUGUACGUGACGAGAACAUUGUCGCAGUUCAGAAAAUAUCAGAAGACGCUCUCGGAAGAGUCACCGGAAGGUCCGUUCUCCGGCGUUUUGGUUAUCACAGAUGAAGAAGCUGAAACAGAGGAUACGUUCUGUUUCGGGAUGUGUACGAGGACAAAAAUAGAGAAGCUUCCGUUACCUCAGGACAAGAUCUUAUCAGUUGUUCACUUAGACAGUUCUGGUAACAGAGAGACUUCGGUUAAGAAGGUCUUGUUCAUACCGGCUCUCGAUCAACCUUUGUCUUCCAAUCGGUAUUACGUUGUUCACGCUAGAGGCAGACACAAAGGGUAAGAUCCAAAAAAAUACGAGAAAUUGUAAGUUAUAAGGCUUUAUUAUAAAGAAGAUUGAGGAAUUAGUGUUGAGAGAUCUUCUCUGUUUUUCUUUGCAGGAAAGUUUCCGUGUGUUCUAGAGAGAUAGAGAAAGGGGUAUGUUGUUUUCCAGAUAUCUUGCAUGACAAGAAACCUAAACCUCUGGAUCCAAGAAACAUAUAUCAGACGGUUAAGAUCAACCGGCAUCACGACCGGACAUUCUAUGCAAAAUCUGUGGCGCCAGACGGUACACCGCCAACAUUUCUCAAGAAGAAAGGAUGGGAGCUACGAACCUCGAGGAGCCUACAUCCGAGGAGACCUAGAGAAGCUCUUGGCCUAGACGAGGAACUAAGAGCUCGUCUCCCAGCAUUUGGAUUUCCAGUUUCUACAAUUCGGUCAGGAAGUGUGAUAGUUGGAGAAUGGUAUUGCCCUUUUAUGUUUGUGAAGGAGAAUUGUAGUGUAAGUCAACAAAUGAGGAAGUCAAUGUUCUAUAGGAUCACACUAUCCCAAUACUGGGAACGAAUUUACCAUUGCGGAAACAAUGAUCUUGAUGAAAACAAUGAUGAAAACGAAGAAGAAGUUGUGAGAGUAGAGGCUAACGUCGUGAGAGAGGCCAACUAUGUGAAGGGUAUGGAGGCGGUUAAGGGAGAGAAAGAAGGGCAUGGAGGGUUUUAUUGGUAUAGGCAGGUUCAAGGUCCACGGGGACCGGGGGAGAGGAGGAGGAAGACGGGUUUAAGGUCUCCGGUGGGGCUGAGUUUUGUGGUGGUAGAAAGGAUGAGAAGGGUAAUGGAGGAAGGAGGGUGGGUGGGAGGAGGAAGGAAAGUGGUGAGGGUGGAGAGAGAUGAACCAAUCAGGGUUUGUAGAAGAGAUGGUAGGAAUAUGAAUGGUAACAAUGAUAGAAAUUGGAGGAGAUUUGGGUGUUAUGUGUUGGUGGAGAGUUUUGGGCUGAGAAGAGCAGAUGGAGUUUUGUUGGUUAAAUGUGUAUUUAGACAUACUAAUAGAUUGAGAUGUAACUGGGAGUGA
Molecule: long non-coding RNA, 2786 nt
Filed under: Arabidopsis thaliana (thale cress)
Lineage: Eukaryota; Viridiplantae; Streptophyta; Magnoliopsida; Brassicales; Brassicaceae
Description: long non-coding RNA (ATHA_LNC000600)
Source: RNAcentral